This 521-nucleotide long non-coding RNA is filed under the name Trifolium pratense (red clover). Its description in RNAcentral is "long non-coding RNA (TPRA_LNC011846)". The record is from RNAcentral. Lineage: Eukaryota; Viridiplantae; Streptophyta; Magnoliopsida; Fabales; Fabaceae.
UAAAAUUGACGAAGAUGAUUUAUAUAAAAAUAAAAUAAAAAAUUGACGAAGAUGAUGAAGUAUGACGAACAUAAUAUGAUGAAGAUGAAGUAUGGUGAACAAAAGAUGGAAAUGAAGUAUGAAUGUAUGAUGAAUUUCCUAGAGAAAGAUUUGAGGACUAAGGAGAGCGGCACGGCACCCAUGUUUGUGAGAAUGAGAAAACUACGGUUUACAAAGUCCACAUAUGAUUAUUUAUGAGAUUUACUUUUCACGCCACUAGGAAUCAUUCUUGAAAUUAUCAAAAUAACCUCGUCGCAUUCUAGGAUGCGAGGACCGUUAGCAUUCCUAUUUUGUGAGUGUCAAUUUUAUUUGACUAAAGUCCAAGGUCCGCGUUCUCCAUGAAUCAAAAUAUAAUGAAAAAAGAGUUAGCACGUUUUAGUAACAAUUGUUGAAAAGUUACCAAGGUUUGCAACACAAUUUAUUAAGGUACAUAUAAACCGUGAUAUCUUUAAUUUUAGACUUAAUUAGUAUUUUGGUCCCCU